RNAcentral lists this ribosomal RNA (493 nucleotides) under uncultured bacterium. Its description in RNAcentral is "bacterial SSU rRNA". It matches the Rfam family "Bacterial small subunit ribosomal RNA", at positions 17 to 518 of the family's 1533-position model. The record is from RNAcentral.
UUCUGGCUCAGGAUGAACGCUGGCGGCGUGCAUAAUACAUGCAAGUCGAACGAGGGCUUCUUGUAGCAAUACGGGAAGUUCCUAGUGGCGAAUGGGUGAGUAACACGUGGGUGACCUGCCUCGAAGAGUGGGAUAACAGUUCGAAAGGACUGCUAAUACCACGUACGCUCAUCGGGAUUAGAUGCCCGAUGAUGAAAGUCGCAAGACGCUUCGAGAGGGGCCUGCGGCCCAUCAGGUAGUUGGUGAGGUAAUGGCCUACCAAGCCGAUGACGGGUAGGAGACCUUAGAGGGUGGUCUCCCACACUGGCACUGAAACACGGGCCAGACACCUACGGGUGGCAGCAGUAGGGAAUAUUGCACAAUGGGCGAAAGCCUGAUGCAAGCAACGCCGCGUGCGCGAUGAAGGCCUUCGGGUCGUAAAGCGCUUUUCGGGAGGAUGAGGAAGGACAGUACUCCCGGAAUAAGUCACGGCUAACUACGUGCCAGCAGCUGC